Molecule: long non-coding RNA, 289 nt
Filed under: Homo sapiens (human)
Lineage: Eukaryota; Metazoa; Chordata; Mammalia; Primates; Hominidae
Description: HSALNT0259289
Source: RNAcentral
GGUAAGAGUGUGGCUGUCAGGUCCCUGCCACUGUGUGUUCUGGGUCUGGCCAAGUGCACAGAUUCCCUUACCUGGUCCUGGCUGGAGAGGCUCUUCUCAAGGACUCCUCUCGUGAAAGGGCUAUGAAACCAUCAAGAUUUGUGGAUCAUCGAAAAAAGAAACAUCCUGAUAAAGUCGAGAAGCAGAAUAUUUAAAAAGUUUAAAAUAGAAUUUUGAACUGUAACACUGUUACUUCCUUAUUUAAGAAGGACAAGCGACCAGGUCCCGCCGCCGCGCCGCCUGGCUCUCG